Molecule: long non-coding RNA, 1215 nt
Organism: Zeugodacus cucurbitae (melon fly)
Lineage: Eukaryota; Metazoa; Arthropoda; Insecta; Diptera; Tephritidae
Exons: 2
Source: RefSeq, a predicted model, not a curated record
UUAUGCCAAGUCAUUGCUAUAGUUGGCAAAAUAUUUAUUUAAAAUACCCUGAACCACCAUGUUCAAAGUGUUUAGUGAGCAAAGAAAGGAGCAGUAAAGUGUCACAAAAAUAAAUACAAAUAAAUAAAAAUUGCACAAUUAAAACAUCAUAAAUAUAAAACUCUCAUGUAACAUAAUUGAGUUACCACAUAAAUAUAAAACUCGCAUGUUAUAUCUUUGAGUUACCACAUUCAUUUUCAAAUUAUGUUUAUUUGAGUGUUCUAAACUUUACAGUUAUUAUCUCCAUGAACUUCAUAAAAUACCCAAGUUACCUCCCCUGGACCUCACCACAGUGAAAACAUUUGUUUAUCAGCUAAUUGCUUGAACUAAAUUGAGUUUGUGUAUAUGAAUACUAAACAUGGUGUUAAGAAAAUUUACAACUUAAUCACCACAGUUAUGUCAGUUACUUAAAGAUAACACUAAUGUCUUUUUCUAGAGCAAAAACAAAAAAAAAAUAGAGCAGGAACGAGAGGAUUUCGCACAGUAUACAUUUUCUAUAAUAGACUAAGCAAUGAACUCGCAUAAUUAAGCGUAAACAGCUUUGUCAAGGUCAAGAAGUAGAUAUUGAACAAUGUGCAUGACUGGGCCUACAUUUAGACGAAAUCUCGUAUUUCAAUAACUACUCGACCAAUUUGGACCAAAUUCCGGAAUAUAAGAUCAUCUUGACAUCCCUAUAUUACAAUAUUAUGCAGAUACAAUGGGUGAGAGAAGAUUAUACCUUUCCAAAUCUUAUCUUGUGAAGCUCCUGACUUGUUGUUGGCUUGAUACCUAAAGGAACGGUCAACUUUGAAGAUAUCUAAAUGAAAAUAAGUGUAUAUCUUUCUCUAGUAAUAAUCUGAUACGGUUUUAAAAUUUUAUAGCAUCGAUUAAGUAAUUUCCCUAGACCUCAUAAUUCUCAUAUAAUGAUUCUCGAACUUCCAGUUCACUUUAUACCGUAUAUAUCGGUUAAGAUACAAUAUAUGAAGGUGUUUAACUGUUAUUUGUAAUCAUGUUACGUAACCAACCUUAAGGAUUUUUUUCAAUUCAUUCGGGUUAAGGUUGUUCUUCAAAUCAAACCUUUGGAACAGUGAUCUCUGGAGAAAAAUGUAUCUCUACGGGUUAUCUUGGAAACAAUAUAUCUCAAUUGGAUAUCUUUCAUUUGUGUAAUCUUUCCUAUAUUUUCUGAUACCAUUUAUA